ACGAUGACUAAUCAGUAUGGAGACAUUCUAAUUUUUAUGCACCCUUUUCUGUACAUAUAAAGUUGUUGCUCAGAUUAAAAUUGGAACGUUUUAGAGCUUUUAGAAGUUUUGAAAUAAAAAUAAUUUAUUUGGCUAUUGUCUAAGAAGUUGUAGGGUAACGAGUAACAGCCAUUCAUGAGCUUAUGAAAUCGGAUGGUGCAAUGUACUGUGUUUGAAAAACACCCAGCUUUUAAUUGUACAGAAAAAUUAGUGAGAAGUCCAGACAUAUUUGACACAUUCCCAUUUUCCAUUAUGGUUUAAGACUACAUUGGUGACAACAAUUACAAUGAUGGGAACAAGAUUUAAAUGAUUUAUAGUCAUACUUCUAUUAAACACACUGAAGAGGUUUACAAUAGGCUCCUUAGACUAAAGAAAUCUCAUGUGGAAUUGAUGUUGAUUUUCCUCCUGUUCCCCGGCACACCAUUAGGAAGCUACAGAAAUCAUACAACAAGAAUAGUUUGGCAAGCUGUGUUUGGAUUCAUUUUGAAAAUAUUUAUCAGUAUAGGUGGUACUGAGUUCAGCAGGUCAGUGACUUGACUGAUGAAAAACUGAAGAAAUAUGAAAAAUGUUGUCAAGUUUUUGGAGACAGUGGGGGUGAAAUGUGUUACGAUAUGUAAGAAAUCAGUUAAUGUGUGUGUGAGUCAACUGCAAAUUAGGAUGCUGAAGCUGAUUGGCUGAGCUAUGUCUGGAGAGCUGUUAAGCCUGGGAGUUUUUGAUACUGUUGCAAUUUUGUUCAGGCUUGAGCUAUGGAGGUGCAGAGGCAGUUGAAACAGAGAGAAGCAGAAAGAGAGAAACACGGAGUUUAAAGUGUGCUCUUGCUUCAUGAGCUGCUAGAAGGAAUCUAUCCACAUGGACAAAGGAAAGACUAUUUUAAAUCUCUCAUGAAAGGACAUUAUCCCGUCAGUGAAGAUUAAGCAGCAUGAGGACUGACCCUGAUCUUCUCUGCAAGUUUGCUGCUUAAAGGACAUGGGCAGGAAACGGACAGCCUGAGGAUACAAUGAAAGGAAACAAACACAGCAGAAAAAUUUUCGCUGAUAACAUGUGCACUGAGUUAGUGAGCAGCUUCAGCCAGUUGUCCAGUUACUGAGGCCAAAGUCUAUAUAGUACAAGCUGACUCUGAUGUGGCCAUGUCAUACAACAUUGUAUAGAGCUGGCAAUGGAUACCUGACAUAGUAGGCAGGGGAGGCAAAGUGCUUUCAUACUAUACCAUGUUUUGUGAUAUAAUUUAUCAUUUUACCUAAUUAUUCCAAUUAAGGAAUGCUUGUUUAGGACAUUAAUUUCAACUUGAUAUCCAGUUAUAUUUGUAAUGUAAAAUGUAUCAUUUCAUCUCAUUCUGCACUAUCAGUAAUUUAUAUUUAUGCUAUUAUUCCAGUAUUCAUCAAGCACCUGCUUUGACUGAAAGCUAUCAACCUGUGGUUUAUAUUUCACUGUUCCUCCAAAGAGCUCUUGGUGGUGCACAAUUCUUUCUUUCUCCUCCAUUUUAGGCUCGCAGCAACUUUAUGAGAACAAGCAAAAGUGAUUGGCUGAAGGUAUAUUCGCUGUAAGCUGAACUGGAGAUUUCAUAGUUUCUCCAGUUCUAAUUCUAGUUUUGAACCACUUAAUUACAUUGGUCCUCGGUCUGAAUUUUUCUGUAUUAUUCUGGGACUUUGUAUAAUUUUUCUGCUAUGAAAUUAUUUUUCUCUUAGUUUCUUCCUGCGAAUAGCAAUAAUGCAAUAUAGAAUUCAACAUAUAAGGUGUACAUGUGCUUUAGCAUAUUUGAAUCAUAUUAAUGAAUGUUGGGGCUUAUAGAAGACUUGGAUAUAAUAUAAUUUAGCACCAGCUAUUAAAGCUACCUUUUUACCUGUUAAAUAC
This is a long non-coding RNA of Anolis carolinensis (green anole), 1890 nucleotides long. RefSeq lists it as uncharacterized. NCBI's taxonomy places the organism in Eukaryota, Metazoa, Chordata, Lepidosauria, Squamata, Anolidae. The record is from RefSeq and is a predicted model, not a curated record. The transcript is spliced from 2 exons.